RNAcentral lists this ribosomal RNA (995 nucleotides) under uncultured bacterium. RNAcentral's name for it is "bacterial SSU rRNA". It matches the Rfam family "Bacterial small subunit ribosomal RNA", at positions 356 to 1376 of the family's 1533-position model. The record is from RNAcentral.
GGGGAAUAUUGCACAAUGGGGGAAACCCUGAUGCAGCGACGCCGCGUGAGCGAAGAAGUAUUUCGGUAUGUAAAGCUCUAUCAGCAGGGAAGAUAAUGACGGUACCUGACUAAGAAGCCCCGGCUAACUACGUGCCAGCAGCCGCGGUAAUACGUAGGGGGCAAGCGUUAUCCGGAUUUACUGGGUGUAAAGGGAGCGCAGGCGGACCGGCAAGUUGGAAGUGAAAACUAUGGGCUCAACCCAUAAAUUGCUUUCAAAACUGCUGGCCUUGAGUAGUGCAGAGGUAGGUGGAAUUCCCGGUGUAGCGGUGGAAUGCGUAGAUAUCGGGAGGAACACCAGUGGCGAAGGCGACCUACUGGGCACCAACUGACGCUGAGGCUCGAAAGCAUGGGUAGCAAACAGGAUUAGAUACCCUGGUAGUCCAUGCCGUAAACGAUGAUUACUAGGUGUUGGAGGAUUGACCCCUUCAGUGCCGCAGUUAACACAAUAAGUAAUCCACCUGGGGAGUACGACCGCAAGGUUGAAACUCAAAGGAAUUGACGGGGGCCCGCACAAGCAGUGGAGUAUGUGGUUUAAUUCGACGCAACGCGAAGAACCUUACCAAGUCUUGACAUCCCUUGACAGGCAUAGAAAUAUGUUUUCUCUUCGGAGCAAGGAGACAGGUGGUGCAUGGUUGUCGUCAGCUCGUGUCGUGAGAUGUUGGGUUAAGUCCCGCAACGAGCGCAACCCUUAUGGUCAGUUACUACGCAAGAGGACUCUGGCCAGACUGCCGUUGACAAAACGGAGGAAGGUGGGGAUGACGUCAAAUCAUCAUGCCCUUUAUGACUUGGGCUACACACGUACUACAAUGGCGUUAAACAAAGAGAAGCAAGACCGCGAGGUGGAGCAAAACUCAGAAACAACGUCCCAGUUCGGACUGCAGGCUGCAACUCGCCUGCACGAAGUCGGAAUUGCUAGUAAUCGUGGAUCAGCAUGCCACGGUGAAUACGUUCUCG